UAGGGGAUCUUCGGACCUUACGUUAUAAGAGCGGCCGAUAUCUGAUUAGCUAGUUGGUGGGGUAAUGGCCUACCAAGGCGACGAUCAGUAGCUGGUCUGAGAGGACGACCAGCCACACUGGAACUGAGACACGGUCCAGACUCCUACGGGAGGCAGCAGUGGGGAAUUUUGGACAAUGGGCGCAAGCCUGAUCCAGCCAUUCCGCGUGAGUGAAGAAGGCCUUCGGGUUGUAAAGCUCUUUCGCAAGGGAAGAAAACUUAUUCUCUAAUAUAGGAUGAGGUUGACGGUACCUUGAUAAGAAGCACCGGCUAACUACGUGCCAGCAGCCGCGGUAAUACGUAGGGUGCGAGCGUUAAUCGGAAUUACUGGGCGUAAAGCGUGCGCAGGCGGUUUUGUAAGUCAGAUGUGAAAUCCCCGAGCUCAACUUGGGAACUGCGUUUGAAACUACAAGACUAGAAUAUGUCAGAGGGGGGUAGAAUUCCACGUGUAGCAGUGAAAUGCGUAGAGAUGUGGAGGAAUACCAAUGGCGAAGGCAGCCCCCUGGGAUAAUAUUGACGCUCAUGCACGAAAGCGUGGGGAGCAAACAGGAUUAGAUACCCUGGUAGUCCACGCCCUAAACGAUGUCUACUAGUUGUUGGUGGAGUAAAAUCCAUGAGUAACGCAGCUAACGCGUGAAGUAGACCGCCUGGAGAGUACGGUCGCAAGAUU
RNAcentral lists this ribosomal RNA (708 nucleotides) under uncultured bacterium. RNAcentral describes it as "bacterial SSU rRNA". It matches the Rfam family "Bacterial small subunit ribosomal RNA", at positions 202 to 895 of the family's 1533-position model. The record is from RNAcentral.